Molecule: ribosomal RNA, 460 nt
Filed under: uncultured bacterium
Lineage: Bacteria
Description: partial 16S ribosomal RNA
Rfam family: Bacterial small subunit ribosomal RNA
Source: RNAcentral
CCUACGUGUGGCAGCAGUGAGGAAUAUUGGUCAAUGGGCGGAAGCCUGAACCAGCCAAGUAGCGUGCAGGAUGACGGCCCUACGGGUUGUAAACUGCUUUUAUACGGGAAUAACGCGCCUUACGUGUAGGGCUUUGCAUGUACCGUAUGAAUAAGGCACGGCUAAUUCCGUGCCAUAAGCCGCGGUAAUACGGAAGGUCCGGGCGUUGUCCGGAUUUAUUGGGUUUCAAGGGAGCGUAGGCCGCAUGUCAAGCGUGCUGUGAAAUGUCCGGGCUCAACCCGGGCCUUGCAGCGCGAACUGGCGUGCGUGAGUCCGCGGAAAGCAGGCGGAAUUCGUCGUGUAGCGGUGAAAUGCUUAGAUAUGACGAAGAACCCCGAUUGCGAAGGCAGCUUGCUGCAGCGGAACUGACGCUGAUGCUCGAAAGCGCGGGUAUCGAACAGGAUUAGAUACCCCUGUAGUC